Molecule: ribosomal RNA, 414 nt
Filed under: uncultured microorganism
Description: bacterial SSU rRNA
Rfam family: Archaeal small subunit ribosomal RNA
Source: RNAcentral
GUGCACCAGGCGCGAAACCUCCGCAAUGCGGGAAACCGCGACGGGGGACCCCGAGUGCCGUGGCAACGCCACGGCUUUUCCGGAGUGUAAAAAGCUCCGGGAAUAAGGGCUGGGCAAGGCCGGUGGCAGCCGCCGCGGUAAUACCGGCGGCCCGAGUGGUGGCCGCUAUUAUUGGGCCUAAAGCGUCCGUAGCCGGGCCCGUAAGUCCCUGGCGAAAUCCCACGGCUCAACCGUGGGGCUUGCUGGGGAUACUGCGGGUCUUGGGACCGGGAGAGGCGGGGGGUACCCCUGGGGUAGGGGUGAAAUCCUAUAAUCCCAGGGGGACCGCCAGUGGCGAAGGCGCCCCGCUGGAACGGGUCCGACGGUGAGGGACGAAGGCCAGGGGAGCAAAACCGGAUUAGAUACCCGUGUAGU